CCUACGGGUGGCAGCAGUGAGGAAUAUUGGUCAAUGGACGAGAGUCUGAACCAGCCAAGUAGCGUGAAGGAUGACUGCCCUAUGGGUUGUAAACUUCUUUUAUAAAGGAAUAAAACGAGGCACGUGUGCCUUUUUGCAUGUACUUUAUGAAUAAGGAUCGGCUAACUCCGUGCCAGCAGCCGCGGUAAUACGGAGGAUCCGAGCGUUAUCCGGAUUUAUUGGGUUUAAAGGGAGCGUAGAUGGGUUGUUAAGUCAGUUGUGAAAGUUUGCGGCUCAACCGUAAAAUUGCAAUUGAUACUGGCAGUCUUGAGUACAGUUGAGGUAGGCGGAAUUCGUGGUGUAGCGGUGAAAUGCUUAGAUAUCACGAAGAACCCCGAUGGCGAAGGCAGCUUACUAAACUGUGACUGACGCUGAGGUUCGAAAGCGUGGGUAGCAAACAGGAUUAGAUACCCGUGUAGUC
Molecule: ribosomal RNA, 460 nt
Filed under: uncultured bacterium
Lineage: Bacteria
Description: partial 16S ribosomal RNA
Rfam family: Bacterial small subunit ribosomal RNA
Source: RNAcentral